Long non-coding RNA from Prosopis cineraria, 913 nucleotides. RefSeq lists it as uncharacterized. NCBI's taxonomy places the organism in Eukaryota, Viridiplantae, Streptophyta, Magnoliopsida, Fabales, Fabaceae. The record is from RefSeq and is a predicted model, not a curated record. The transcript has 3 exons.
UCACAAGCUCUGUGUAUCUGUGCUUUACUUCAGUUCAUUGAUCUCCUGUGUCUCUCGGUUUUUCAUCUUUGAUGUCAAUCUCAAUAUCUCCAUACCUCUUAAUUACCACGAAUUCUAUCCUUCGACUUGUUCAACAGCUUUCAAUCUGCAAGAUAGAAUUCAUGUUAAUUGAGAGUCAUGGAGAUAUUGAGAUUGACAUCAGAGAUGAAAAAUUAAGAGACCAUGUAAAUAUAAUGCAGUAAAGCACUCGUACAUACAGUGUCAGUUUAUGUUCAAUAUGUAUAUGGCUUGCUCAAACUCUUCAACUUUAUCGAUCAAGGUCCGAGUGUUCAUCUUGAAGGAGGGCUUGUUAAUCAGGACGAAUCAGAGUUUAUUGUUCAGUGAUGAGGCUGACGAUCGAUGGCUCGAACUUCAAAAGAGAAGAGCUUUUCCAUGAUCCAUCUGUUUUAGCUCUACUCUGAUUGUGGUUCUCUUGUUUUAUGGGUUUGUUGGUGAAGGAAAGAAAGAAGACGGCAUGAAGAAAGAUGGUUUGAAGGUCCGAUAGAGAAUUGUGAAUUGUGUAUUGUUAAGAUUCGCCCCGAUGCACCCACUCUUGAAGGUUCAAGGACUAUGAGAUUCUAGUUCGAAGGCAACUUUGGUGUUGAAGAUCUAUUCUAUUUGAUUCAAAUCUGGUAUGGAGGAAGGAGAGAGAAAAAGAAAAGGAACUUGAAAAAAAUGACGACGAGAUUUGAGAGGGCACAUGAGUGGACAGAGGUCACGUGAAAGAAAGAAUAGAAAAGGUAAAACAGAGCGGAGGUCACGUGAAAAGAAGGUGAGAGAGAGAGAGAAGGGUAGUGGAUUUUCAGCCUAGUAUAAAAAUAUGUAUUUUAAGAUAUUAAUAUUAUAAAAUGGGAAAAAUUACCAUAAAGUUUUA